RNAcentral lists this long non-coding RNA (1292 nucleotides) under Piliocolobus tephrosceles (Ugandan red Colobus). RNAcentral describes it as "lncRNA (ENSPTEG00000027008.1)". Lineage: Eukaryota; Metazoa; Chordata; Mammalia; Primates; Cercopithecidae. The record is from RNAcentral.
GUUCUCUACUUUAUGUUCUCUACUUUAUGUUUUAAACUUUCUGUUUUAAACUUUCUGUUCUCUACUUUCUGUUCUCUACUUUCUGUUUUAAACUUUCUGUUCUCUACUUUAUGUUUUAAACUUUCUGUUUUUUAUUUUUUUUUUUAUUUUUUUUGUAUUAUACUUUUAUGAUAUGUAUAUUGGUCUAUUACAUUAUCUGCUUCUAUACAUAUACAUAUGUAUGUACACGCAUGUAUAUGUCGUAUAUUACUUACACUUAGACGAAAUCAAUUUUGUAUGUAACACUUUUUAUUUUUAAAAAAGAGAAAAAAAAAAAAAAAAAAAAAAAAAAAAACUUUAUAUAUAUGUAUGAUAAGAGUGUUUAUACACUCAUGUAUAAGUUUUUAAUCUUCACUUAAAAUCGAACACGUUUUAUUGUAUUUAUUUUUGUAUAAUCACAAGUAUACUUACAUUUGCAUGGGUAUAUGCACAUUCGUAUAUAUAUAUAUAUAUAUAUAUAUAUAUAUAUAUAUAUAUAUGUAACAAUACAAUUUAUUUUUGUACAUGUAUUGUCUCUACCAUAUAAGUGCCAACUAAAAUGUGUAUAUUUUCUGUUCUCCUGUUUUUUCCUGCAAGUUAAAUAUAUAUGUUAUAUAUUAUAGCACCAAAAAGAAAAAGAUAAAAAAAAGGGAUAAAGAAAAAAAAAAAAAAAAAAACUAAACUAAACUAAACUGAAAACUGCUUAUUUUUAUAUUAAUAACAAUCUUGUAUUUGUUUAUGCGUACAUGUACGUACGUGUUGAUACAAUACAAUUUUUAAAAUGAUGGCAUGAUUUUUAUAUAGUGCGUUUUAAUUGUGUUUACACAUAUGAACUUAUGUACAUAAAUAUGUACAUAUAUAUAUAUAUAUAUAUAUAUAUAUAUAUGCACCUACGUAUGCACUUACGUAUGAUUUUUUUUUUAUUUUUUUAUUCUAGAUUCUUCCAUAUUGAAUAUUAUUCAAUUAGAACUAGGUUUUUAUAAAAAAAAAAAAAAAAAAAAACGAACAAUUAUACUUUUUAUUUUUUCUUAUCUUCGUAUCUUUUUCAUUUUAUUUCUAACAUUAUUAUAUACAUACGUAAAUACACUAAAGAUUAAAGGUUAAAAAAAAAAAAAAAAAAAAAAAAAAAAGAGACAGUACAUAUAGUACUUAUAUAUGUUGUCUUUAUUUUUACAAUUUUUCUCUUUUUGAAAAAUACGUUUAUUAGAACAAAACCACGCUUCAUUAUAAACCAGUACUCAAGAUUGUACUAUCUGGAACUGUUUUUUUUUUUU